RNAcentral lists this ribosomal RNA (511 nucleotides) under uncultured bacterium. RNAcentral's name for it is "bacterial SSU rRNA". It matches the Rfam family "Bacterial small subunit ribosomal RNA", at positions 395 to 896 of the family's 1533-position model. The record is from RNAcentral.
CGCCGCGUGUGGGAUGAAGGCCUUCGGGUCGUAAACCACUGUCAGUGGGAAAGAAGGGUGUCGGCGCGAUAACCGCCGGCAUCUGACGGUACCUGCAGAGGAAGCCCCGGCCAACUCUGUGCCAGCAGCCGCGGUAAGACAGAGGGGGCAAGCGUUGCUCGGAAUUACUGGGCGUAAAGGGCGCGUAGGCGGGAUGGCAAGUCGGUCGUGAAAUCCUUCGGCUCAACCGAAGAACGUCGAUCGAUACUGCUGUUCUAGAGGAUUGCAGAGGAGACUGGAAUUCCCGGUGUAGCGGUGAAAUGUGUAGAGAUCGGGAGGAACACCGGUGGCGAAGGCGGGUCUCUGGGCAAUUCCUGACGCUGAGGCGCGAAAGCGUGGGGAGCAAACGGGAUUAGAUACCCCGGUAGUCCACGCUGUAAACGAUGAGCACUAGGUGUGGGGGGGUUCAGUCCCCUCCGUGCCGCAGCUAACGCAUUAAGUGCUCCGCCUGGGGAGUACGGCCGCAAGGUUG